RNAcentral lists this ribosomal RNA (468 nucleotides) under uncultured bacterium. RNAcentral describes it as "partial 16S ribosomal RNA". It matches the Rfam family "Bacterial small subunit ribosomal RNA", at positions 28 to 507 of the family's 1533-position model. The record is from RNAcentral.
GACGAACGCUGGCGGCGUGCUUAACACAUGCAAGUCGAACGGAAAGGCCCUGCUUUUGUGGGGUGCUCGAGUGGCGAACGGGUGAGUAACACGUGAGUAACCUGCCCUUGACUUUGGGAUAACUUCAGGAAACUGGGGCUAAUACCGGAUAGGAGCUCCUGCUGCAUGGUGGGGGUUGGAAAGUUUCGGCGGUUGGGGAUGGACUCGCGGCUUAUCAGCUUGUUGGUGGGGUAGUGGCUUACCACGGCUUUGACGGGUAGCCGGCCUGAGGGGUGGACCGGCCACGUAGGGACUGAGCGGCGCCCCAGAGCGCACGGGGAGCAAAAGGGGGGAAGUCCUCACAAGGGGCAGUAACCUUGGGGCAGCGACCCCCGGAGUGGAAACCCGCCUUUCGGUUGAAGACCGGCUUUCUCUUGUAAGCAAGCGUGUGGGCCGGUAUGGAACAGGAAGCCCCCGGCUAACUACGUC